UACGGAGGAUGCGAGCGUUAUCCGGAUUUAUUGGGUUUAAAGGGUGCGUAGGCGGGAUGCCAAGUCAGCGGUAAAAAUGCGGUGCUCAACGCCGUCGAGCCGUUGAAACUGGCGUUCUUGAGUGGGCGAGAAGUAUGCGGAAUGCGUGGUGUAGCGGUGAAAUGCAUAGAUAUCACGCAGAACUCCGAUUGCGAAGGCAGCAUACCGGCGCCCUACUGACGCUGAGGCACGAAGGCGUGGGUAUCGAACAGG
Molecule: ribosomal RNA, 252 nt
Filed under: uncultured bacterium
Lineage: Bacteria
Description: partial 16S ribosomal RNA
Rfam family: Bacterial small subunit ribosomal RNA
Source: RNAcentral